Molecule: transfer RNA, 73 nt
Filed under: Sphingobacteriales bacterium 50-39
Lineage: Bacteria; Pseudomonadati; Bacteroidota; Sphingobacteriia; Sphingobacteriales
Also listed under: 3 other names
Description: tRNA-Thr
Rfam family: tRNA
About the family: Transfer RNA (tRNA) molecules are approximately 80 nucleotides in length. Their secondary structure includes four short double-helical elements and three loops (D, anti-codon, and T loops).
Source: RNAcentral
GCCGGCGUAGCUCAGCUGGUAGAGCAACUGAUUUGUAAUCAGUAGGUCGGAGGUUCGAUUCCAUCCGCCGGCU